This is a long non-coding RNA of Bufo gargarizans (Asiatic toad), 2063 nucleotides long. RefSeq lists it as uncharacterized. The record is from RefSeq and is a predicted model, not a curated record. The transcript has 3 exons. NCBI's taxonomy places the organism in Eukaryota, Metazoa, Chordata, Amphibia, Anura, Bufonidae.
AUAGGCCUUGAGACAUGACUUGGAUAUUAAAUAAGCCGGCACCUCAUCUGCAGACAGCUGUUUCGGGGUGAUUGCCCCUCAUCAGUGCAGAGCAGAGAGCACUGGCUUAACUGGUUAAGAGGCCAAUAUCCAAGUCAUGUCUCAAGGCUUAUUUUAAGAGCUGAACAUUGACUUAUAGGAGAGCUGCCUUACAUCUGGUGGCAUCAGAGGCAGAGCUUGUUAAGAGCUCAUUUGCAUCCCUUCCCUCCCAAAAUUCCAGAGGAGCAUGUAUGGCCUAUAAGUCUCCUCACUGAUUAAGGUGCUCUCUCCCUAAGGAGAGUUAGUUCCCCCCAGGGAUGAUCCUUGUAUGGAGAAAGCAUUUUAUUAUUUAUUUCCUACAGAGUUGGAAAAAUGUUGGGAGUUGUAGUUCAACCUACAAUAACAUUCUGUACUUUUCUCCUCUGAUAUAUAAAUGUUUGGACAUUGUGGGAGUUGUAGUUCUCUCCUCUGAUAUACUAUUGUCUGGACAUGCUGGGUGUUGUAGUUUUUUUGAUAUAACAGUCUGUACAAGCUGUGAAAUGUAAUUGUUCCCGGGAAUGCAGGUCUGAAGAGGAAGCCCCUGAUGGUGAAUUCAGGAUAAACUGUUUUCCUCCUCUGAGGAGGAGAAGAAUAAAGAGGGGAAUAUUCAUUCUAAGGAAAGAAAGUAACAAAAAAAUUGUUACUGUCCGACUGGUUGGGGGACCAGGAUGAUGACCAGGGGGUCUCCACCUGUAGGGUUCUAGGGCCUUCAAAGUUGCAGAAUGCAAACAUCCUGGAAAUGAUCCAAUUCAGUCCGGAUUCACUAUAGACCGCCUCUCCUUACUGAACAGGUCUUCUUCUGCCUAAUGUGGGAAGCUGUUCUGGUCUGGGUUGGGGACCUUCACCUCUACUCAGGAGCUGCUGUACUUGAGAGAAUAAGGCCAGAAAGUCAUCUGCUCAGUUUUCUUCUGUGGAAGUGUAGACGUCAUCAGAUCUUUCAUCUGCAUAAAGUGAGUCAUCUAUUGAGGUGAAUAUGUCUGUCCUCAUCGGAGCACAAAGUACUCAGCUUCAGGCCUGUAUAACUUAAGUCGUGGCUAACACAAUGGUCAUGUACCAAACUUUGUGGCUAUUCUGCUUGUGCUGCUGUAGAUAGGGUUCCCAACCCCGUAGUCAUCAAAAACAUAGAUCACAGCAAUGAUUUCUUUUAGGAAUAUUUUAUUUCCAAAUAGAUAUGCGGCAAGAGAUCUGGAAAGGGAAGCAAGAAAACUUCAAAAUUAUGAGCUACACAGCAUAACCUUUGCUGAAUAUAUAAAAACACAACGUAUACCACGAGGAUUACGUAUGAGAAUACGCCCGACCUUUUUCAAAGAUAACGCAGAAUUCUGCACACAUUUCGAACAUAUUUUAAACAAAUGUUCAUUUGAUCUUAUGACACUAACUCUGAAAUAUCUACAGACAACAAUUACAGAAACCAAGACCAAAAUCCGUUCCAUUGAAGUACAACUUCAGGACAUCAUCUCCACAGAUGAAUAUAAGAAACUACAGGACAAGCUUUCCACGACUUUGACCAUGGCCAGAAAAGACAUAGAAAUCACCAAAAGGAAAAAGUACCUAAGAGAUUGUGAUGAUUAUAGGAACAAUAACGUGUACAACUGGACAGAGAGAAAUCAACCGACAAGGAGAUCCUCAUCAAUUGAUUCCCAACGAUCCACGUCUAGCGGAGAACACCGUCAAUAUCCAAACCGUAACCAACGCAGAACCCGAGGCAUCAAUCAAGGACAUCGAGGUGGGGAGACUACGGGUCAUCAGACAUCCACUAUGACAACUCGCUCUCAGGCUCCAUGAACACUACACCCAGUGCCGCAGGGGAUAUCCUACACCAUUGUGAUUUAUAUGACCUGCAACUGAAUAAUCAAAGGACGGCGAAACUUUUAUUUAUUUAAUUUUACUCUUUUUCUUUUUCUUUUGACAUAUGUAUGUACAUUAUGAAGAUUUUCCUAUAAUCAAUGAUGUAAAUUGACUGGAAAUUAAUUGUUACUGAAAUUAUCUUAUUGUAAUUCCUAUAG